UAAAAAAGCUUGAUCGAAAAA
This 21-nucleotide non-coding RNA is filed under the name Caenorhabditis elegans. The record is from RNAcentral. Lineage: Eukaryota; Metazoa; Nematoda; Chromadorea; Rhabditida; Rhabditidae.